CAUAUUUAUUUUUCUACAAGUUUUCCAAAAAACGUAGAGGAAAUCAUGUCGAGAAAAAUGGCAAAAAUGGAGAUUACGUCAUGCAUGUUUCUGGUUUUGAUGACCACCAAUAUCAGGGUAUUGACGGAAAUGCUAGAAAAACUACACACCAAGAGAACAA
Long non-coding RNA from Saccostrea echinata, 160 nucleotides. RefSeq lists it as uncharacterized. The transcript has 4 exons. Lineage: Eukaryota; Metazoa; Mollusca; Bivalvia; Ostreida; Ostreidae. The record is from RefSeq and is a predicted model, not a curated record.